Long non-coding RNA from Suricata suricatta (meerkat), 238 nucleotides. RefSeq lists it as uncharacterized. The transcript has 3 exons. Lineage: Eukaryota; Metazoa; Chordata; Mammalia; Carnivora; Herpestidae. The record is from RefSeq and is a predicted model, not a curated record.
GGAGAGUCUGGCGCAGAGAUGUCUAGAGAAUUAAAGAGAAAAAAAUGGAAACAAAGACAACAUUAUAAGUCCUCAACACUGAAGAGGCUUGCAUAUUAUAUGAUACCCAGUUAUUGUUGGAAUUGGACCACAAACAGGAUCAAGAAGCUGACUAUUGUUUCUGCCAUGGUUUAAGGUGAAUGAUGCACUCGGAUAAGGCAGAAUGACUGGCUUUUAGGUCAUUAUUAAUGAUUCUGAU